Molecule: ribosomal RNA, 259 nt
Filed under: uncultured soil bacterium
Lineage: Bacteria
Description: partial 16S ribosomal RNA
Rfam family: Bacterial small subunit ribosomal RNA
Source: RNAcentral
AGGACGAACGCUGGCGGCGUGCUUAACACAUGCAAGUCGAACGGUGAUCUCGGUGCUUGCACCUGGUGAUCAGUGGCGAACGGGUGAGUAACACGUGAGUAACCUGCCCCAGACUCUGGGAUAACCCCGAGAAAUCGGAGCUAAUACCGGAUACGAGACGCACAGGCAUCUGUAGCGUUUGGAAAGAAUUUCGGUCUGGGAUGGACUCGCGGCCUAUCAGCUAGUUGGUGGGUAAUGGCCCACAAGGCGACGACGGGUA